RNAcentral lists this ribosomal RNA (253 nucleotides) under uncultured bacterium. RNAcentral describes it as "partial 16S ribosomal RNA". It matches the Rfam family "Bacterial small subunit ribosomal RNA", at positions 524 to 776 of the family's 1533-position model. The record is from RNAcentral.
UACGGGGGGGGCAAGCGUUGUUCGGAAUUACUGGGCGUAAAGGGCUCGUAGGUGGCCAACUAAGUCAUACGUGAAAUCCCUCGGCUUAACCGGGGAACUGCGUCUGAUACUGGAUGGCUUGAGUUUGGGAGAGGGAUGCGGAAUUCCAGGUGUAGCGGUGAAAUGCGUAGAUAUCUGGAGGAACACCGGUGGCGAAGGCGGCAUCCUGGACCGGCAUUGACGCUGAGGCGCGAAAGCUAGGGGAGCAAACGGG